ACUCAAAGGAAUAGACGGGGGCUCGCACAAGCGGUGGAGUAUGUGGUUUAAUUCGAAGCAACGCGAAAAACCUUACCAGCCUUUGACAUGGUGGUCGUAGAAUCCAGAGAUGGAUUCGUCAGUUCGGCUGGACCACACACAGGUGUUGCAUGGCUGUCGUCAGCUCGUGUCGUGAGAUAUUGGGUUAAGUCCCGCAACGAGCGCAACCCUCAUCUUUAGUUACCAUCAGGUUAUGCUGGGUACUCUAGAGAAACUGCCGAUGAUAAAUCGGAGGAAGGUGGGGAUGACGUCAAGUCAUCAUGGCCCUUACAGGCUGGGCUACACACGUACUACAAUGGCGGAUACAAUGAGAAGCAAUAGGGCGACCUGGAGCAAAUCUGAUAAAGUCCGUCUCAGUUCGGAUUGCACUCUGCAACUCGAGUGCAUGAAGUCGGAAUCGCUAGUAAUCGCAAAUCAGCAUGUUGCGGUGAAUACGUUCUCGGGCCUUGUACACACCGCCCGU
Molecule: ribosomal RNA, 502 nt
Filed under: uncultured bacterium
Lineage: Bacteria
Description: partial 16S ribosomal RNA
Rfam family: Bacterial small subunit ribosomal RNA
Source: RNAcentral